GGACAAAGUGAGGAAUAGCAGAAGAAAAGUAACAUCGAGGGAAAAUAUGUAGUAAAAUAUAUGAUUAAAAACAAAACAAAGUGAUCACUCAACCCAUUUCUCCAUCAAGAUUUCAGAACUGCAGCAGAUUAGAGCAUUCGCCUAAGAAAUAAAUUUUAAAAGAAGUGCUUUCGCAGAAUCCCAAGGAAACCUUGAUACGUUUUGCCAGCCUAUGAAUUAUAAUGUAUUGUCAUCAUGAAUAACAACGAGAUUGAAAGAAUCUACAGCAACCUCUACAGGACCUAACAAGAAAUAACUAAAUAUAUCCCAAUAUACACCCCCCCCCAUAUACCCUUUGCUCUAAAAAACUCUAAAAAACUAAAAACAAAAACCCCAUCAGAAACUGCAUUUUGCUGCGUUCAGAGCUAACACCACUUUCGGAUAGAAACUAUGGCUUUUAUGACCCUGUACCUCCUUCUCGAAGGCAGAAGCUGAAAGAGAUCGUUUCCAGGGUGCGUGGGAUCCUGCACUAUCUCUACCGCUUUGUUAAAACUCCU
This is a long non-coding RNA of Hemicordylus capensis (graceful crag lizard), 536 nucleotides long. RefSeq lists it as uncharacterized. The transcript is spliced from 3 exons. The record is from RefSeq and is a predicted model, not a curated record. NCBI's taxonomy places the organism in Eukaryota, Metazoa, Chordata, Lepidosauria, Squamata, Cordylidae.